Molecule: long non-coding RNA, 584 nt
Filed under: Capsella rubella
Lineage: Eukaryota; Viridiplantae; Streptophyta; Magnoliopsida; Brassicales; Brassicaceae
Description: long non-coding RNA (CRUB_LNC000495)
Source: RNAcentral
AGGAAUGCUAGAACUAAUAUUUUAACGUUUAAUAAAAAUGAUGCUAAAACUAAAUGAUGAUAAACGAUGCUGAUUUUUUUUUUCUUCUUUUGUCUUCAAAAUUAAAUAAACGAUGCUAAAUUUAAAAUAAAUAAAAUGAUGCUAUAUAAAUUAGAGGUCAUUGGUUUUCUUCUUUUUCGUCAACAAAAUACUAUUUAAAUAAUAUCGGUCAACAAAAAAGGCCAAUUGGAGAAAAUUCGUCUCGUGAGAAGGUUAUGACUAAUUGAUUUUUUUUUUCUUUUUUCUGGGUCAACGAAUAUGAAGAUACAUCGGCUCUUUAUUUAGAUUUGAGUUUUAACCCUAAGUGUUGAUUUUUUAUUUUGGUAAUUCACCCUAAGUGUUGAUUAAUGCGUGAUGUAUAAAUAUAUGUUUUUUUUUUUUGGUAAUUCACCCUAAGUGUUGAUUUUUUUUUUUGGUAAUUCACCAUAACAUAUAUUAUACAUGCGUGAGUGUAUCGUAUGUUAGAUUGUUAGGAUAUAUCUAAAGUAUCUGAGUUUAAUGUAAUGUAAUAUAUGUUUCGUUCCAGAAAAAUAAGACUGUCAUUA